Molecule: non-coding RNA, 2106 nt
Organism: Linepithema humile (Argentine ant)
Lineage: Eukaryota; Metazoa; Arthropoda; Insecta; Hymenoptera; Formicidae
Source: RefSeq, a predicted model, not a curated record
UCAAUAUUUACAUUCAAAUGGAAAACCAUACGUAUUUCUUCGUCCUCUUGUACCGUAUUCAGUUGACUGCGUCCUGCAAGGAGAAACGGACACAAUGUCAGAAAUUAGUGUAACAAGAGAAAACGUGUGGCAGUAUUACGAAAAAGUGUCGGAUUACCAAGCAAAAUGCAGAUUCUGCAGGAAUGAAUAUACUUACACUUAUAUAAAUUUCAGUAAACAUAUAAAAAAGCAUCCUUGUAUAAUAGAAUACGAAGAAUAUAAAGGACGACAAGAAUGGCCAUGGAUAUGUUUCAAGUACAACGAUACUUCCACCUCACAAUGUCUUUUCUGUUGUGAGAAUUUCCGAUCUAAUUUUCAAUUUUUAGCUAAUCAUUUAAAACAAAAGCAUUCUAAUAAAGUGGAGAGUUACGUACUUUACGAUUGGACAUGGAAAUAUUUUGCGAAAGUUAAUGAUUUUAAAAUUGAAUGUACCGUGUGUAUCUACAGUGAAUCAUGUAUUUUGUCAUCCAAUAUAAGGAAACAUCUAGUACAGAAACAUUUAAAAGAAUUAAAAACUGCACAAGAAACACGCGACAUAGCUCUUUCGUUAGAAACCGUUCAGAAUUUAAAAAGUAUGGAAAUUAAAGAAAACAUGUGGGAAUAUUAUACCAAAGUGACGUAUUUUCAAGUAAAAUGCAAAUUCCAAAAUACCCAUCUAUUUUUUAAUUAUAAUUUACAAUUUUAUAUGCAUGUAAAACAAAAACAUGAAGAAAUCUGUAAAUGGGAAGAGGAUCACAAAAUUGAAAAAUGGCCAUGGAUGUGUUUUAAGUAUUCGUACGAAUAUAUUUCCGAUAAAAGCAUACUAUUCUCAGAAUGUUUCUUGUGUGGUGAUUUCUUUCCGGCCGAUAAAAUUUCUACAACGACACAUCUCUCAGACAAGCAUUCUGCGACAGGAAUGCGUAAUUUUACAGAUAAUUGGAUAAUAAAAUAUGUUAUACAAAGUGCUGACACUAGAAAGUUCAAGUGUACUAUUUGUUGCAAAAACUUAACCAUUGAUAUUAGUAGUGAAAUGUAUUAUCAUACAAUUAAAAGUCAUCCGGAAGAAUUGCAAUCGAUUAUUUCAAGAAAAGACACGCAAAAACUGUGGCAAAAUUACAAAAAUUUGCGAAAUUUUCAAAUACAAUGCCAACAUUGCGAUUUUCAAUAUUGUUAUAUCAAUACAACAAACUUUAUUGAUCACAUAAAAAAAGAGCAUAUUGAUGAAUAUAAUUACGAAGAAACAAACGGGAAACAAUGGCCGUUCAAGUUUUUCAACUUUAUUAGCUCAACUACCGUACAAUGUUGCCUUUGUAUUGUUAUUAUUUUAUCUUUUGAUAUAAAUAAAUUGGAAACUCACUUGAAUCUGCAUUUUUCUAAGAAACCGAAUUACUUUAUCGACUGCGACUGGAUAUGGAAAUACUGUAAAAAAGUUGGUGAUUUUGAAGUGGAAUGUUUUUGUCAAAGGAAAAUAUCUCUUGAUGUUUCGUUAUGGUAUUUUGAUCAUCACAUUGCAGCUACACAUCCGAACAGGCUGCCAAGUACACAGAGAACGCAUGACAUAGCUAAACCAUCAGGAAGCCAACCAAACUGAAUAAAACAGGGCUACAAUAUGGAUGGUCACGAUCUUUCUGGCUACUUUUCGAUUGGCGCCAUUCUUUGUCUGAUUGAACAACAUUUUCGAGAUGAGGUUGGUUGCAAAGAAGUUGGUGAUCAUGUACAGGCGACCAUUUGGACAGCGGAUCAGAAACAUACUGGUAUAUGAAUUUUUUGACACUUGUGAUGAUACCCGUACGAUGGUGCAUUCCUAAUGCAUGAUAUGAGUCUUAAGCUACAGGAUACGUCGCGAAGCAUACAUCAGUAAUGAAAUCAUUAUACAUCACAAAGCACUGCAAGCGGCUUGCGAAAAAUCUAAGACUAAUGGUGGUAUCGAAUCGUAAGUUGCGCAUACGUACGUAGCUGCCAACGAGAGUGCAGACAGAUGAAACAGAGUAAUGAGAAAUUCUUUCUGUACUUCUGAAUUCGAUUUGGAAGCCCAUGGGAAUCCUCUGUCGCUCGCUAAUACAGCUCCGCGUAUUAGCGCUAUUACGU